CCAAAGGCUCUUUUCAGAGCCCCCCAUAAAAAGACGGAGAGCCAC
Molecule: non-coding RNA, 45 nt
Organism: Camelus ferus (Wild Bactrian camel)
Lineage: Eukaryota; Metazoa; Chordata; Mammalia; Artiodactyla; Camelidae
Source: Rfam